This is a non-coding RNA of Xyrichtys novacula (pearly razorfish), 5317 nucleotides long. The record is from the annotation of a GenBank genome assembly. Lineage: Eukaryota; Metazoa; Chordata; Actinopteri; Labriformes; Labridae.
UCUGAUGGUGCGAACGACGCAAAUCUUAACUUGAAAGGAUAUAUUAUAACUAAUCAGCACAAAGGUUGCCGGGGGACAAAAUGGACGGUUGUUCACUGGUAUUUAAAAUGGAGGACAAACUGAUUGAGUCGGUGUGUAGGUGCCCCGAUUUAUACGCUACCUUUUCUUUCAAUUACCGAAACCGGAAUAAAGAGGAGCUCGCCUUAAGGCAAGUGAGUGAGGAGGUCGGAUUACCUGGUAAAUUGUAAAAAACCUUGUCUAUCACUUGAUCCCGCUGGUUGAAUUGGCAGGGAUUACCAUUUAAAUUACUGUUGAUGCAUGAAUUAAGCAAGUAAAUACCAUUCAUUCUAGCGUGUAGACGCGAAUUAAGAGAUAAGUGAUUUUACUUGCGUUUGGUGUGAGCGCUCCAUAAGAUGUGGUGCUGCAACUAAGCUGAGUUGAUGAAAACCAAAUUAAGAGUUAGGUACUUAUUAUUAUAACUAUUAUAACUAUUAUUCCAGUUUUUGUCUUGUUUAGUGAGUUGUUCUAAAUGCGAAACAUAAAACGAAAAAAAAUCCUGUAACUGUAUAAAAAUGUUUGCAUAACAAUGCUACUUUCAAAUAUCCAAAACAGUUCUGAACUUUUUAUUCAAAUAAAAAGUGAACAUUUCACAAGUUACAGAGACCUCGGUGCAGUUCCAGUUCUGGUGCUGGUGGAGAGCCAGAGCAGUUCAGCCAUGACAGAGGCACAGCUGCAGGAUGUCAGGCUUAUUAGCAGUCAGAUAAAUAUCCACCUGCUCGAUGAGAUUUCCAGAGUGGCUGUGACUGCAGGCGAAAAACAGGACGAGCAGAGUAUGUUCAUCUCCUGUUUUGCAAGUUUUGUUGUAAAAUGUGGGCAUAUGCUAAAUGAACUGUUUAUCUGUAUAUCUUUACAGUGCAGUAUUCAGGGUGAUAUACAUAAAGGGAAAGUCACGUUCAGCCCGUGGUGUUUUUGAAUAUUUUCUUUCAGCACAACAACUGCAGACACGUUUGGAAACACUCACAUAAGCAUACCAGGUGAUAAUAACGUGUGAAUGGUCUGCAUGUCAGGGUCUAACACUGUUCGAGUGCAUGUCCAGUAUUUUCUUAAACAGCUGCAAAUGGAAACAGCAUUUCUCAUUCUGUGUACAAAGCAGUGAAUAAAAAGGGGUUGAGUAUGACAUAUUUAUUCAUCACUGCCGUCCAUAUAAAAGCAACAUUUUCAUAAAUCGUCACCUUGGAUGGUGUUUGGGAACAAAUGAUUUCAGUGACCUAAACCUCAGUUAACUUGUGGACGCAGAGGAAGACUGUUUUUGAAAAUAUUUGUAACUGGCUACAAAACAUGCAGUCGAGUUUUUUAAAAAGUGGAUAAUUGGACCGACCUAUAACUCUAUGCAGAUGACACGAUGUUGUUCACAGCUUUGUCAUCUGCAUAGAGUUACAGGUCAGUCUGACUGUAUGGAUUUGUUGAUUUUCUUGUUGUAUUCUGGUUCACUAUGAGCACACACUAAAGCAGGAAAUCUUAAAAUCCACAAAACUCAAACACUAAAGAUAGAGUUGGUAAUCUGAUUUAGAUACACUUUUUGUUAUUCUGGUUAAAAUGAUCUUUAUGUUCCAAUGGCAAUCAAUACAUGAUGUGUUUUUAAAACAGAGAGAGACAUAGCCACUAUCUACAGAAGGAGUAAAACUGGGAAAACACCAACCAAUCACACCGUGUGGGUCCGUCAUUUUUAAACCAAUCAAAUCCCGUGCUCCCCUCCUGAGUGUACACUGGCCCUGGUUUAAUGUGCAUAGCCGAGCUGACAGGGAUACAUCUAUGCUGGAGAAUGGCAGAGAAUCUACCUAUACCCACAUUAAAAGUGACGGCUCCUCCUGCAAAAAAGAGCAAGAAAAAAAAAGAAUGACGGAAGCAGAGAAGGCCAAAGCAAGACAGAGUUCGGAGAAAGCAAGGGGGAAAAUGAAAGUCAACAUCGGGACAGCUUUCAGCGAUGGAGAGAACUGAAAGAGGUAAUAGUCACUCAUUUUUUGUUGGAAAGGAACGUUGAGGGUUUGUUUCAGGGCGAUUUUUAAUCUCAAGUAUUUAGGCAUGUUGCUAGUUAUGUGGUCAUCCUGAUGCUGAAGUUACCUUCUUUGUCCCUGCUGUGCAAAGACUUCCCAAUCUAAAGUCCCAAAGUUUUGAGUCUGUGGUUUUUAAUCAGUAGACAGCAGCGCUCGUGCAUGUAAGCAGGGGCGUUGUUUUGGAGGAGCUCCAAGGGGAGGGGGUAGGGGAUAUACAAAGUCCUGAGGAGAUGCAACAUUCAAAUCCAUACUAGUUUGCCGCGAUUACCAACCCUAACUUUAACUUCCCACAGUAGAUGAAAACUUUGCAUACACCCAUAGAUCCAUGGCACACUUUUAACUCAGUGUCUUGAGUUUGCAUGUCCUUGUUUACACUGCGACUCAGUAGGACAGCAGCACAGGAGAAAAGUGUCACACUGUGUCCGAGAUUGUUAGGAAGCAACCCUUCCUCCAUCUGUUCAACUGUCCAGCAGGAAACUACAAAGGUGUGCACAGACUCCCUCCUUCCUCCCUGCCAGCCCUGCUUAAACUCUGAAUGAACACCUUGGCUGGGAACCAGAAUCUGACCCUCAGGCUUGAAAGAACCAGAAUCUGACCCCUCACUGCAGAGCAACAGUCCAGCUUUUUACUAUCAGAGUUAUGGGCAAUAAAUAGGUUUUAGUGAUGCAUUUAAAUAGCUUGGAAUUCACCACUUGAAAUUAAAUAUGCACUUUGGCAGUAUGUGCAUGGUGUUUGUUUUGCCGUCAACCAGCAGACAUUAAUUUUAAAUCUGCUUUGUGUUGUCGACACGGUAAUAAAGUAGUCUGAAUCUGUCAUCGCUCUGCACAGAGUUUCACCAGUUUCUUCUCAUUAUAAAUUAGCCUCCAGCAAAGCAAUAUGUUGGUUGCUGCUGCUGUGUCAAACUUGAUGUUUAACUACAGCAGCUAGCUUCAGAGGGAUAAAGUCAACAGCGUUUUUAUGUUGAAGAUGAUAAACUAACAUAAGAGCUGCGGCUUUAUGGAUGCUUUAAACCAAAGUGCUGCAUAGUAGAGAGUGGAUUUGAGCACGAGAGGACUUCAGGGAAUAAAAUUCACUGAACUGGAGGAUCAGAGUCUCUCAGAGGUCUUUUAAUUUGCUUUUGUCUUUGACUGGAGCAUCCAGGCUGUCCUCAAGCUCUUAAUCUAGAGAAGAGCGAAUGUGUUUGAAACCACUGAGAAGUUUUCAGUAAAGAAGACAAAAUAAUUGAUCUUAAGUCCUAGCUUUGUUAAACACAUCGACAUAUCAUUUCCACAUGACCUGUGCUUUUAACUGGGUACACCAUAUCCACAGUCUAUAACUGCACUGGUCAAAGGUGAACUAAAGAGUUGGUAAACACAGAGAUGAAGCUAAAAUUGGUCCAGCCUCCAAGACUCCUGCCAAGAGACUUCAUCAAUACAGUACAAACAGCUGUUAAGUGGAAAGACAAGCAGGGAAGGCAAACAUUGAUUUCCUAUUUGUUUUCAUGGCACUAAGGCCUCGAGACAUGCAGUACAUGUCAGGCUGAAAAUUGAAAAUGUGUAAAAUGAUGCACAAGACAGCUGGGACAGUGUUCAUGUAUCAUGUAGCAGAGCAGCUUCAAUCAGGCGUUAAAUUUAACACAAUGCAUAAAAUACGGAAAGAGAGGGACAAAGAUGCUUUAAAAUCAGCUCAUAGAGAAACUUCAGAAGAGUUAUCGUGUUAUUGAAGGUUUCACUCUUUACCAUUUGGAAAGGGUACACUUCCAAGUUUCGGUCGAUGAAAGUGUAUGCAUGAGUGAGAAAAUCAAUCCUCAACAGCAUUAUCCAGGUAUGUUCAUCUGGCUGAGAGGGGUUUGAUGUGGUGCAAUUUCAGUCACACUGUUUAAAAGUGUCUUUAAAGUCCAGUUCUAGUUGGACUAAUGCAGUAUAUCAACUUAACAAUAACAAUACAUAACAAGAACUUCAUUUAUCCCCAAAGAGAAAUUCAGGGAAAUGAAUUUUCUUUCAGGGAUAAAUAAAGUUCUUAUAUUGUAUUGUAUUGUUAAUGUCCUUCUCUCUUCUCUCUAGACCCAAUGCAUGUCUCAGCAGAUGACUGUCUAACAUGAGUCUGGUCCUGCUUGAGGUUUCUGCCUGUUAACGUAAGAUUUUCCUCUCCACUGAAACUUGCGUAGUGAUGCAAAGUGUUUCAUCCAUCGACUGUAUAUAGAAUGGACGCCGUCUGCCUCCUCGCUGAGUGAAGCCACUCCGAGAACAGCACACCCUGGUGACGGGCUGCAGUAUAGGUCAUAAAUCCUGCCUCUGCUGGCCAUCUUUGUGGGGCUGUGGACAAACUUCAGAAAUUAAUUACACAGAUAUACAUUUUUCUCCCCCAUGCUUGCAAUGUUGACAUUUAGGUUACUGUUAGACUUGUUUGUGCUCAAAUUAUCUUUUUUCUGUGCAGUUCAAUUUUUAAAAGUUAUAAGGGGGUUCAUGUUUUCUAUGAUUGACACUUGAUACAGCCUAUGGGCGUAUAAAGAUUGCAUAGCUCACCCAGGGGAUACGCUGUUUGAGCCGAGCGUCAUCACGGCCACUCUCGGCGACUCCCCCUCUGAAUGCGCACAAUGCUACUGCGCAAUGUUGGUUUCAGGAAGUGGAGGAAAAACGCCGAAAAACUGAGAGCUUUUCGGCUUUAAAUUCGUAUACUAGCAGAAGGCAAAACCAAGUUGUCCAUAGUAUAUACAGUCUAUGGUUUCAUCCAUGUGGUUGAAGAUCAAAUAGGAGAUUUAUGGGAUUUAGUACAAACUUAAAACAAUUACACCUGACAAAACAAGAAUACUCUAGUAAGCAACUGUCGAGCUUAAGGCCACACAGUGAUUACAGCAUUGAAUCUGAGUUAUCGUAAACUGACAAACACGUAGCAGGUGUUUGGUGGUCCCUGCAUGUUCCUCAACAGUAAGCUGAGUACGAGCCUCUAUGGGGGCACAUUAUUCACAGAGCAUGAGUAGUUUCAUUUGACAGCCACAAAGCAGGUCCAAAAUGAACUGCAGGUUGUCAAUAUGCAGUUCUAGAUGACAGAAUCUAUUAUCCCGGCUUAUUGUGGCCUUGGGCAAGCUAGCAUGCUGACAGAUGCUCUUUCGUGGCUGUGAAUCCACUCAGUUUCUACAAACUUCUCCUUCCCUUCACUUUCCCUUAGUUUUUCUUGCCCUCAUUUAUUUUCUCGCUCACCUCUUGUUGUUUUUUUUCCCUCCUCCACCCUUCGCCUCAUUUCUUCUUCUCUCCAUCCUUCUGGUCCCACGCUCCUCCUCCUCU